RNAcentral lists this ribosomal RNA (497 nucleotides) under uncultured bacterium. RNAcentral describes it as "partial 16S ribosomal RNA". It matches the Rfam family "Bacterial small subunit ribosomal RNA", at positions 28 to 507 of the family's 1533-position model. The record is from RNAcentral.
GAUGAACGCUGGCGGCGUGCCUAAUACAUGCAAGUCGAGCGAACGGACGAGAAGCUUGCUUCUCUGAUGUUAGCGGCGGACGGGGGAGUAACACGUGGAUAACCUACCUAUAAGACUGGGAUAACUUCGUGAAACCUGAGCUAAUACCGGAUGAUAUUUUGAACCGCAUGGUUCAAAAGUGAAAGACGGUCUUGCUGUCACUUAUAGAUGGAUCCGCGCUGCAUUAGCUAGUUGGUAAGGUAACGGCUUACCAAGGCAACGAUGCAUAGCCGACCUGAGAGGGUGAGCGGCCACACUGGAACUGAGACACGGUCCAGACUCCUACGGGAGGAAGCAGUAGGGAAUCUUCCGCGAUGGGCGAAAGCCUGACGGAGCAAAGCCGCGUGAGUGAUGAAGGUCUUCGGAUCGUAAAACUCUGUUAUUAGGGAAGAACAUAUGUGUAAGUAACUGUGAACAUCUUGACGGUACCUAAUCAGAAAGCCACGGCUAACUACGUG